RNAcentral lists this ribosomal RNA (253 nucleotides) under uncultured bacterium. RNAcentral's name for it is "partial 16S ribosomal RNA". It matches the Rfam family "Bacterial small subunit ribosomal RNA", at positions 524 to 776 of the family's 1533-position model. The record is from RNAcentral.
GACGAAGGAUCCAAGCGUUAUCCGGAUUUAUUGGGUUUAAAGGGUGCGUAGGCGGAUUGAUAAGUCAGUGGUGAAAGCCUGCAGCUUAACUGCAGAACUGCCAUUGAUACUGUCAAUCUUGAAUAUGUUUGAUGUGGGCGGAAUAUGACAUGUAGCGGUGAAAUGCUUAGAUAUGUCAUAGAACACCGAUUGCGAAGGCAGCUCACAAAGCCAUUAUUGACGCUGAGGCACGAAAGCGUGGGGAGCGAACAGG